RNAcentral lists this unclassified non-coding RNA (245 nucleotides) under Hevea brasiliensis (rubber tree). The record is from RNAcentral. Lineage: Eukaryota; Viridiplantae; Streptophyta; Magnoliopsida; Malpighiales; Euphorbiaceae.
GAAAAAGAUGCUGACUUCCCAUUAGUUUUUCUGCUAGCAAACAACCUUGUUGAAUUAGAGCUGAAUGGGUUUAUUAUACUGGAGGUAAUGGAUAUUUAGGUUACCUCAACUAUAGCAUAUAGUGAUUUGCACUUUNNNAAGAUCGUGCUAGUGAUGGUAAUGACAGAUGAAAAUGAACAAAGAAUAUUGUGGUCUGGUGGAUCGAAUGGUUCUCAUGUGGGAAAUCAUAGAUGUUGAAGCUGGUG